CCUGACGCAGCAACGCCAUGUGUGGGAUGAAGCAUUUCGGUGUGUUAAACCACUGUCGGCAGGGAAUAAAGCCCGCAUUUAUGGGGGGGUGAAUGUACCUGCAAAGGAAGCCCCGGCUAACUUCGUGCCAGCAGCCGCGGUAAUACGAGGGGGGCAAGUGUUGUUCGGAAUCACUGGGCGUAAAGGGAGCGUAGGCGGAUGUUUAAGUUGGAUGUUUAAGACCGGGGCCCAACCUCGGAGCGGCAUCCAAAACUGGGCAUCUUGAAUGGAACAGAGGCUAGCGGAAUUGGGGGUGUAGCGGUGGAAUGCGUAGAUAUCCCCAAGAACACCAAUUGCGAAGGCAGCUAGCUGGGUUCACAUUGACGCUGAGGCUCGAAAGCGUGGGUAGCAAACAGGAUUAGAUACCCUGGUAGUCCACGCCGUAAACGAUGAACACUAGGUUUCGGACUCGUCAACGGUUCGGAGCCGCAGCUAACGCAUUAAGUGUUCCGCCUGGGGAAUACGGUC
RNAcentral lists this ribosomal RNA (507 nucleotides) under uncultured compost bacterium. RNAcentral describes it as "bacterial SSU rRNA". It matches the Rfam family "Bacterial small subunit ribosomal RNA", at positions 382 to 887 of the family's 1533-position model. The record is from RNAcentral.